UACAGAGGUCCCGAGCGUUGUUCGGAUUCACUGGGCGUAAAGGGUGCGUAGGUGGUGAGGUAAGUCGGAUGUGAAAGCUCCAAGCUCAACUUGGAAAUGGCAUUGGAAACUACCUUGCUAGAGGGUUUGAGGGGGGACUGGAAUACUUGGUGUAGCAGUGAAAUGCGUAGAUAUCAAGUGGAACACCAGUGGCGAAGGCGAGUCCCUGGAAAACUCCUGACACUGAGGCGCGAAAGCUAGGGGAGCAAACAGG
Molecule: ribosomal RNA, 253 nt
Filed under: uncultured bacterium
Lineage: Bacteria
Description: partial 16S ribosomal RNA
Rfam family: Bacterial small subunit ribosomal RNA
Source: RNAcentral